CUACGGUAGUGAAGUCAUUGAUGCCAUGCUUCCAGGAAAAGCCUCUAAGCUUCAGAUAGUCAGGAAUCGUACCCCAAACCGACACAGGUGGUCGGGUAGAGAAUACCAAGGCGCUUGAGAGAACUCGGGUGAAGGAACUAGGCAAAAUGGUACCGUAACUUCGGGAGAAGGUACGCUCUUGAUGGUGAAGUCCCUCGCGGAUGGAGCUGACGAGAGUCGCAGAUACCAGGUGGCUGCAACUGUUUAUUAAAAACACAGCACUGUGCAAAAUCGCAAGAUGACGUAUACGGUGUGACGCCUGCCCGGUGCCGGAAGGUUAAUUGAUGGGGUUAGCGCAAGCGAAGCUCUUGAUCGAAGCCCCGGUAAACGGCGGCCGUAACUAUAACGGUCCUAAGGUAGCGAAAUUCCUUGUCGGGUAAGUUCCGACCUGCACGAAUGGCGUAAUGAUGGCCACGCUGUCUCCACCCGAGACUCAGUGAAAUUGAAAUCGCUGUGAAGAUGCAGUGUACCCGCGGCUAGACGGAAAGACCCCGUGAACCUUUACUACAGCUUGGCACUGAACAUUGAACCUACAUGUGUAGGAUAGGUGGGAGGCUAUGAAGACGUGACGCCAGUUGCGUUGGAGCCGUCCUUGAAAUACCACCCUUGUAUGUUUGAUGUUCUAACUUAGACCCAUUAUCUGGGUUGAGGACAGUGCCUGGUGGGUAGUUUGACUGGGGCGGUCUCCUCCCAAAGAGUAACGGAGGAGCACGAAGGUGGGCUAAUCACGGUUGGACAUCGUGAGGUUAGUGCAAUGGCAUAAGCCCGCUUAACUGCGAGAAUGACGGUUCGAGCAGGUGCGAAAGCAGGUCAUAGUGAUCCGGUGGUUCUGUAUGGAAGGGCCAUCGCUCAACGGAUAAAAGGUACUCCGGGGAUAACAGGCUGAUACCGCCCAAGAGUUCAUAUCGACGGCGGUGUUUGGCACCUCGAUGUCGGCUCAUCACAUCCUGGGGCUGAAGUCGGUCCCAAGGGUAUGGCUGUUCGCCAUUUAAAGUGGUACGCGAGCUGGGUUUAGAACGUCGUGAGACAGUUCGGUCCCUAUCUGCCGUGGGCGUUGGAAGAUUGAAGGGGGCUGCUCCUAGUACGAGAGGACCGGAGUGGACGAACCUCUGGUGUUCGGGUUGUGUCGCCAGACGCAUUGCCCGGUAGCUAAGUUCGGAAUUGAUAAGCGCUGAAAGCAUCUAAGCGCGAAGCGAGCCCUGAGAUGAGUCUUCCCUGAUACUUUAAGUAUCCUAAAGGGUUGUUCGAGACUAGAACGUUGAUAGGCAGGGUGUGUAAGCGUUGUGAGGCGUUGAGCUAACCUGUACUAAUUGCCCGUGAGGCUUAA
Molecule: ribosomal RNA, 1366 nt
Filed under: Vibrio cholerae
Lineage: Bacteria; Pseudomonadati; Pseudomonadota; Gammaproteobacteria; Vibrionales; Vibrionaceae
Description: partial 23S ribosomal RNA
Rfam family: Bacterial large subunit ribosomal RNA
Source: RNAcentral